GCCUGCCCCGUGAUUUAAUUUAACGGCCGCGGUAUCUUAACCGUGCAAAGGUAGCAUAAUCAAUUGUCCUUUAAAUUGGGACUAGUAUGAACGGCAUCACGAGGGUUUAACUGUCUCCCCCCUUUAAUCAAUGAAACUAAUCUUCCCGUGAAGAACGGGAAUAUAACUAUAAGACGAGAAGACCCCAUGGAGCUUUAAACUUAAUACCACUUAUUUAAUAAUAAAACACACCAUAUGAUAAGAAUGCUUUUAUAGUUUUUGGUUGGGGCGACCCUGGAGAACAACAAACCCUCCAGAUUGAAAUGAAUAAUAAACCUUAUACAAGAACCACAGUUCAAAUAAACAAAAAUUUGACAAUACUGACCCAGAAUAGACUGACCAGUGAACCAAGUUACCCUGGGGAUAACAGCGCAAUCCAUUUUAAGAGCUCUUAUCGACAAAUGGGUUUACGACCUCGAUGUUGGAUCAGGGUAUCCAAGCAGCGCAGCAGUUGCUGGUGGUUCGUUUGUUCAACGAUUAAAACCC
RNAcentral lists this ribosomal RNA (525 nucleotides) under Hyperolius chelaensis (Chela Mountain reed frog). RNAcentral's name for it is "partial 16S ribosomal RNA". It matches the Rfam family "Bacterial large subunit ribosomal RNA", at positions 1857 to 2596 of the family's 2925-position model. Lineage: Eukaryota; Metazoa; Chordata; Amphibia; Anura; Hyperoliidae. The record is from RNAcentral.